Molecule: ribosomal RNA, 255 nt
Filed under: uncultured bacterium
Lineage: Bacteria
Description: partial 16S ribosomal RNA
Rfam family: Bacterial small subunit ribosomal RNA
Source: RNAcentral
GACGAACGUUGGCGGCGUGCCUAAUACAUGCAAGUCAACUGAAAUACCGGUAGCAAUACUGGUAUGGAGGUGGCGCACGGGUGAGUAACACGUAGGUAAUCUGCCUUCAGGUCUGACAUAACCCAUCGAAAGGUGAGCUAAUAUCAGAUGAUGCAGCGGCUUGACAUCAAGACAGUUGUUAAAGCUUCGGCGCCUGAAGAUGAGCCUGCGUCUGAUUAGCUAGUUGGCGGGGUAACGCCCACCAAGGCUGCGAUC